GUUAAUGUAGCUUAAUGUUUAAAGCAAGACACUGAAAAUGUCUAGACGGGUACUAACCACCCCAUAAACA
This 70-nucleotide transfer RNA is filed under the name Ateles belzebuth (white-bellied spider monkey). Its description in RNAcentral is "tRNA-Phe". It matches the Rfam family "tRNA". From Rfam's summary of the family: Transfer RNA (tRNA) molecules are approximately 80 nucleotides in length. The record is from RNAcentral. Lineage: Eukaryota; Metazoa; Chordata; Mammalia; Primates; Atelidae. RNAcentral also lists the same sequence under 2 other names.